CUGACCUUCCAAAGGUCGUGCACGCCCAAGCACUCUCACACAUAUCCACCUCACCCCUUUGUGCAUCACCGCGUGGGUCCUCCUUUGCAGGAGGGCUCGCGUUUUCACACAAAACUUGAUAUAGUGUAGAAUGUCAUCAUUUGCGGUCACACGCAAUCAAUACAACUUUCAACAACGGAUCUCUUGGCUCUCGCAUCGAUGAAGAACGCAGCGAAAUGCGAUACGUAAUGUGAAUUGCAGAAUUCAGUGAAUCAUCGAAUCUUUGAACGCACCUUGCGCCCCUUGGCAUUCCGAGGGGCACACCCGUUUGAGUGUCGUGAUAUUCUCAAAAGCCUUUUUCUGCUCUUGCUGAAAAGGGUUUUUUGGACUUGGAGGUUCAAUGCUUGCUUUUCACUUUUGAAAAGUAAGCUCCUCUCAAAUGAAUCAGUGGGGUCCGCUUUGCUGAUCCUUGACGUGAUAAGAUGUUUCUACGUUUUGGAUUUGGCACUGUCUUUUUUUGGAUGCCUGCUUCUAACCGUC
RNAcentral lists this ribosomal RNA (519 nucleotides) under uncultured Russula. RNAcentral's name for it is "eukaryotic LSU rRNA". The stretch from base 164 to 317 matches the Rfam family "5.8S ribosomal RNA". Lineage: Eukaryota; Fungi; Basidiomycota; Agaricomycetes; Russulales; Russulaceae. The record is from RNAcentral.